This 1332-nucleotide long non-coding RNA is filed under the name Zonotrichia albicollis (white-throated sparrow). RNAcentral describes it as "lncRNA (ENSZALG00000007641.1)". Lineage: Eukaryota; Metazoa; Chordata; Aves; Passeriformes; Passerellidae. The record is from RNAcentral.
CUAUCCUUGUUGUGGUCCAACCGUGAGUUUUCCACCCAACAUUGACUUUUCCAGCCAAUUUGGGCCAUUUUUACCUCUAAAUCCAUCCCAUUGACCAAAACAUUGCCUUUAGAUGCAACGGUGAAAUUUUAUCCCAAAAUUCAUCCCCAGUGAGGUCAAACCUUGACUUCUCCACCAAAUUUGACCAUUUUCACCCCCAAAAUCCACCCCCAUUCACCAAAAAUCCCCUUUUGACCCAACAGCACCAUUUUUACCCCAAAAUCCCUCCCCUUUUGACCUCCAACCUUGACCUCUGACAAUUCCCCUCCCACCAGACCGCCCAACCCAACCCAACCUGACGGUGACACCCUCGGGCCUCACGGUGCAAGGGCAGCCCCUCCUCUUCCUCUGCAUGGCCCCACCCAGCAAAGCCCCUCGGCGCCACUUCCGCUUCCUCCGGGAUGAGCUUGAGGUCUCCGAGGGCAUCGUGGAAGGUUCUGGAAGCGCCCGGCUGAGGGUGGAGAGGAGCAGCCAGAACCAGACCGGGAACUUCAGCUGCAGCUAUGAGGAGAUGACCGAGGGGCGCUGGAUUGCCUCCUACCCCAGCGAGGCCGUGGCAGUGGUGGUGGAAGACCCGUGUCCGCCCCCCGUGCUUUGGGUGGAGCCUCCGUCUGGCGUGGUCACCGUGGGUCAGCGGCUGCGCCUGACCUGUUCUGCGAGCCGACGUCACUUCCGGCGCCGCUUCCGCUUCUUCCGCGAUGGCAUCGAGCUGACUCCGGGUGACCUCAUCGAUGGCGUCAUCAGUGACGUCACUGGUGAUGGGUCCCAGCUGGUGUUCCCGCGGAUUUCCCCCGAAUUUUCCGGGAAUUUCAGCUGCCUGCUGGAGGAGGAGGUGGGCGGGGCCUGGGUGGAGGCUCCGCCCAGUGAAGGCGUGGCCGUGGUGGUCAUGGGUGGUUUCUCGUCCCCAGCUGAGUUCGAGUUCCCCCCAUUGGUCAUCGGCGGAGUGGUGGGAGUAGCCUUGACGCUUCUGGUGAUCCUAUUGGCUGCUUGGCUAGGCCGGAGGAGGAGGAGUCAGUGGGGGGGAGAGGAGGAUUUGGACCCCAAAAUGUCCCCAGAUCGCCUAUUUUAAUGCCAAAAUUUCCCUUGUCAGGCCAAAAAGGGAACAUUUCACCCCAAAUUUCUCCAUUUUAGUCCCAAAUUUGGCCAUUUUGACCACAAAUUCCUCACUUGUAUCCCAAAAUUACCCCAGAUUUCCCCAUUUUAGUCCAAAAAAGACCUUUUUGUCCCCAAAGAGGUAAUUCUGACUCAAAGUCCCACAUUUUACUACAAAAGUGACUCUUUUGUCCCAAAAAU